ACGGGGUGCAGCAGGCGCGAAAACUCUACAAUGCAGGCAACUGCGACAGGGGGACAUCGAGUGGCAUCCACCUUGGGUGCCUGUCCAACCGUCUAAAAAACGGUUGUUAGCAAGGGCCGGGUAAGACCGGUGCCAGCCGCCGCGGUAAUACCGGCGGCUUGAGUGGUGGCCGAUAUUAUUGAGUCUAAAGGGUCCGUAGCCGGCUUUGCAAGUCUCUCGGGAAAUCCAGCGGCUUAACCGUUGGGCUGUCGGGGGGUACUACAUUGCUUGGGACUGGGAGAGGUAGGAGGUACUCAGGGGGUAGGAGUGAAAUCCUGUAAUCCUUUGGGGACCACCGGUGGCGAAGGCGUCCUACCAGAACAGGUCCGACGGUGAGGGACGAAAGCUAGGGGCACGAACCGGAUUAGAUACCCGGGUAGUCCUAGCCGUAAACGGUGCUCGCUAGGUGUCACAACAGUCGUGAACUGUUGUGGUGCCGUAGGGAAGCCGUGAAGCGAGCCACUUGGGAAGUACGACCGCAAGGUUGAAACUUAAAGGAAUUGGCGGGGGA
This 550-nucleotide ribosomal RNA is filed under the name uncultured archaeon. Its description in RNAcentral is "bacterial SSU rRNA". It matches the Rfam family "Archaeal small subunit ribosomal RNA", at positions 325 to 875 of the family's 1478-position model. The record is from RNAcentral.